This is a long non-coding RNA of Drosophila ananassae, 1060 nucleotides long. RefSeq lists it as uncharacterized. The transcript has 2 exons. Lineage: Eukaryota; Metazoa; Arthropoda; Insecta; Diptera; Drosophilidae. The record is from RefSeq and is a predicted model, not a curated record.
UGACAAACCGAUAUUGUGUUCAUUGAAAAAUUGUGAAAAAUAUUGGAAAAAUUUUAAUUUAAAACCAUCAAAUCAAUCACGUAUAUUGUGGAAAUUAUUUUUCAAAUUCAUUUGUCUUAAGCCAGCAACAAGUGUAUUGUGAUAGUGACACUUUAUGAGCGGGAAAUUUUCUCACUUUGAUUAAUUACAAUGACAAGCAAUGCUAAGAAAACGCAAAGGGGUUGAUAUGAGCCGCAGUACAAGCAGAGCUCGAAAGUUGCAAAAUAGCAGAUCCGAAAGAACAGAAGAACAAAUCCAGCUACAAAAUACUGAUGCACGUGUCAGAAUGACGCGAUUGCAUCAAGAAGAGCCAGAAGAUACACGAGAUGAACGCAAUGAAGUCAGAAGAUUAGAACAACGACAAUCACGCCGUUUCACAGUCAAUAGACGAAGAACAAAUAACCAACAACGACAACAGGUACAUCGAGCAUUUACCACCAGCUCCUUUACGCUCCUUAGUUUCUGGGAUUGGAAAUGAUUCGAAGCACUUCUUGACCAACAUUCAGAAAUAUAACAACUGUGUUCAGAUGCCAUCAUUUGGUGCUACUCAUAUUAUACAAGCCAAUUUCAUGCCCACUUUUAAGAUACAAGGACAAUUUUAUCACUUACUGGGAACUCUGAUACCACUAUCUGAUGCAGAUCAUCAAUUUUUACAAAUUUAUUUUAUGGGCAAUUCAGAUGCGGAAAUUAAUAUUCGUUGUGCUCACAAACCAACAGUAAAGAGAACCAUUGUCCAACAAUUACAAAUGUUUCUUCAUCAGAAUAACAAUUUAGUAAACAUGAUCAAAAUAGCAUUGGAUCGGAUGCCAUCUGAUAGCCAUAAUACUGGAAGACUGGCUGUGAAAAGACUGAUGAAUAACGUCAUUGAGACAACAAUCAUAAAAGGAAAAUACAAAGGAGAGGAUGUCUUGAUCCCGCGGAUACCAAUGAUUACAACGGACACACCAUUCGAUUUUAAACGCUUACAAUUUCCAGUACAUCUGGAUUUUGCGAUGACUAUAAAUAAAUCGGAAGGACAAUC